RNAcentral lists this non-coding RNA (136 nucleotides) under Tiarina fusus. Lineage: Eukaryota; Ciliophora; Prostomatea; Prorodontida; Colepidae. The record is from RNAcentral.
AGGGGCCAGGCUCGAGGACAAAAACGACCAACUUGACCAGCAUGAAGGAUAGGGAGUCCUCCGUAUGGUCAGCGCAGAGACGAUCGCAGAUAAGCAGGGAACCGCCGGGAGCCGGGCGGGGGCAGGGCCAACGCAC